UGCUGAGUCUGCGCUACUGGGCGGGGCUAGGAGGCGGUGCCUGUGACGUAUGAGAAGGCGAGAGGGCAGGAAAAGGGGCGGGGAAUCUCACUGCGCUUCCGGCUUCCCUCCCCCGCCCCCGGCGCUCGCGGGGUUUCUGCGGUACCAGCCGAGCCCUGAAAAAAGCGUGUGGUCCUGUGUAACAAAAUUGACGAUUCUGUUUUUUCAAAGAACAUACUUCCCUAAUGACCUAUUAAAGAAGCAUGUAUGGUUGUUGGAGAGGUAAGGAAAAGGUUAAGCUGAGGUGUUUCCCAAUUUAGGGCCGAGAAUCUGGAAUAUUAAUUGAGUUGUUUUGUUGAGUUGAGUUGUUUUCCGCUAAUGAAAUAUAAAAUAAAAUUUCAUUUUGCAGUCUGACUUGGGGGGAUAUAAUACUUCGGCUCUUUUGGCGAUGAAGAGCGCCGGAAGAGAGGAAAGGACGCCCAUCUUGGGAUCGGCUUCGCGUCGUUCAGGUCCUACAAACAAACGGGCAGAUCUGUCUGUUUCACGGGUGGUUUCAGAAGUUGCGAAUACAAGUGGUCGUGUCAGCCUUGCAGAAAGUUGGAAGUGGCAUCUUGUGCUGCCGGAGAAUGAGUGCACCUCUUCUCAGGUACUUUCAGGUGUUUCGUUUCUGCAAGAUCUCAACUUCAGGCCGUGUUUGUCUCACUCAGGGAAAAUUAACU
RNAcentral lists this long non-coding RNA (698 nucleotides) under Lepisosteus oculatus (spotted gar). Its description in RNAcentral is "lncRNA (ENSLOCG00000021346.1)". Lineage: Eukaryota; Metazoa; Chordata; Actinopteri; Semionotiformes; Lepisosteidae. The record is from RNAcentral.